RNAcentral lists this long non-coding RNA (624 nucleotides) under Triticum aestivum (bread wheat). RNAcentral's name for it is "long non-coding RNA (TAES_LNC015426)". Lineage: Eukaryota; Viridiplantae; Streptophyta; Magnoliopsida; Poales; Poaceae. The record is from RNAcentral.
CCUGAGUUCAUGCAAUCUUGUCUAACAAUUGAUGAUCCAAAUUGGAAAAAAAUUAUUUGCAAAGAGAACAAUUUCUUAAUGAAAAAAUUCCAUACGGAAGGUAAACAGUUAAAUUCCUUUGAUGUCUCCCCUUUGUAUUUUGUGUUUGGUAAAUAUUAUUCCAAUUCUUAGUCAAAGAUUUGUUACCAUGUUCUGAUUAGUUUGCUAACUAUCAGAUGCGAGUCCUUUUGCUUAGGAUGGGAGCAGGAGGAGAUGGAGUCGAUACUGUUGACUUCCUGCCAAAUCUAUGGUUGGGUAGCCAUUCCCAGGUCCACGCAUGCAUCUUCGUUGGGUUUUACCUACUUUGGUUUGUUGAUUCUUGUGUGUUUUGCGAGUGAAAUGGUGCUGUGAGAUCACUCUCGUAAACGACGGACAAUGCUGAAUGUUAAUAAUGUGGAUUUAUUAGUUUAAUAUGGAGCACCUUACAUCCUUGCAGUGAUGAACACUGGAUUUAUUAGUUGUGUACUAUAUACUGUAUAUGGCAUGUAAUAAUGUGGAAUGAUGAACACUUGAUGUAUUUGUUUCUAUAUACUUAUAUGAUUUGUAACACCGUGGAAUGCAUGAUGAACCCAACUGUUUGAUUCC